This is a long non-coding RNA of Homo sapiens (human), 736 nucleotides long. RefSeq annotates it as DHH antisense RNA 1. The transcript is spliced from 4 exons. The record is from RefSeq and is a predicted model, not a curated record. Lineage: Eukaryota; Metazoa; Chordata; Mammalia; Primates; Hominidae.
ACAAAGGCGCUUUUCAGCCGCCCCGGCUCAGGGAGAGGAAAGGGCAGAAAGCCGCGCCCCCAAUCCCUGCUCCGUCCGGGUAGGUCCCCUCCCCCCGCGCGUCCAGUCUUCCCAGUUCCAGCUAAGGCUCUGCCAGUCCGGAGAGCCCCUAUCUCUCCCAUCUCUGCUCUAGAUGCAGCCCAGAAGGGCGUGGGAGUAGCACCUGAGAAUAACGGUCUCCUUGUGCGGAUCUGGGGAGCCCCCUGCAGGGUGGCAACCAGAGGAAAGGGCCACAAUGUUCCACGGCCAAGGAGGAAAGAAGGAAUGCCCCUUUUCCCAUCUCUAGGUGAAGCUGGACUCACCCACCUGGGCUGCCAUAGGAAAACGGAGGAGCUGGCAGUGCCCCGGCGCAGGCAUCUAAUAGCUGCUGUUUUUCAAAUGAAUGACUUCUCAGUUGGAAGCUGCUGAAGGGCAGUGGACACUCAAAAGUCUUUGUAAGAGGUGAGGAUCACUUCCCUUAACCGUCCAUCUAGGCACCUCUCCAGCUUUCUCCCUCUCUGGACUCCCGGGGCUCCAUUUUCAGCCACUCAGAUCUCAUCUCAGAGGCACCACGUCCAAUUUCUUUUGUUUAGAAGUCAUUUCUUCUAAGAAGCCUUCCUUGAUGUCCCAACACUGCCCACCUGUGUUCCCUCGAGAACCAUUACUUAACUGCAGUGUUAGAACAGUAUUAGAAUUAUCUGGCACCUUACUAGACAAA